This 405-nucleotide ribosomal RNA is filed under the name Arthrobacter sp. RNAcentral's name for it is "bacterial SSU rRNA". It matches the Rfam family "Bacterial small subunit ribosomal RNA", at positions 340 to 747 of the family's 1533-position model. The record is from RNAcentral. Lineage: Bacteria; Bacillati; Actinomycetota; Actinomycetes; Micrococcales; Micrococcaceae.
UACGGGGGGCUGCAGUGGGGAAUAUUGCACAAUGGGCGCAAGCCUGAUGCAGCGACGCCGCGUGAGGGAUGAAGGCCUUCGGGUUGUAAACCUCUUUCAGUAGGGAAGAAGCUGGCCUUUGGGUUGGUGACGGUACCUGCAGAAGAAGCGCCGGCUAACUACGUGCCAGCAGCCGCGGUAAUACGUAGGGCGCAAGCGUUAUCCGGAAUUAUUGGGCGUAAAGAGCUCGUAGGCGGUUUGUCGCGUCUGCCGUGAAAGUCCGGGGCUUAACUCCGGAUCUGCGGUGGGUACGGGCAGACUAGAGUGCAGUAGGGGAGACUGGAAUUCCUGGUGUAGCGGUGAAAUGCGCAGAUAUCAGGAGGAACACCGAUGGCGAAGGCAGGUCUCUGGGCUGUAACUGACGCU